RNAcentral lists this unclassified non-coding RNA (240 nucleotides) under soil metagenome. RNAcentral describes it as "partial contains 5.8S ribosomal RNA, internal transcribed spacer 2, and large subunit ribosomal RNA". The record is from RNAcentral.
AACCAUUCUCACCUGCGGCUAGACCUGCGGAAGGAUCAUUACCGAGUGCGGGCCCUCUGGGUCCAACCUCCCACCCGUGUCUAUCGUACCUUGUUGCUUCGGCGGGCCCGCCUGCUGGCCGCCGGGGGGCCUCCGCCCCCGGGCCCGCGCCCGCCGAAGACACCGCCGAACUCUGUCUGAAGAUUGCGGUCUGAGCGAUUCACGAAAUUAGUUAAAACUUUUAACAAUGGAUCUCAGAUC